This 449-nucleotide ribosomal RNA is filed under the name uncultured bacterium. RNAcentral describes it as "partial 16S ribosomal RNA". It matches the Rfam family "Bacterial small subunit ribosomal RNA", at positions 29 to 523 of the family's 1533-position model. The record is from RNAcentral.
AACGAACGCUGGCGGCAUGCCUAACACAUGCAAGUCGAACGAGAUCUUCGGGUCUAGUGGCGCACGGGUGCGUAACGCGUGGGAAUCUGCCCUUUGGUUCGGAAUAACAGUUGGAAACGACUGCUAAUACCGGAUGAUGACGAAAGUCCAAAGAUUUAUCGCCAGAGGAUGAGCCCGCGUAGGAUUAGCUAGUUGGUGUGGUAAAGGCGCACCAAGGCGACGAUCCUUAGCUGGUCUGAGAGGAUGAUCAGCCACACUGGGACUGAGACACGGCCCAGACUCCUACGGGAGGCAGCAGUGGGGAAUAUUGGACAAUGGGCGAAAGCCUGAUCCAGCAAUGCCGCGUGAGUGAUGAAGGCCUUAGGGUUGUAAAGCUCUUUUACCCGGGAUGAUAAUGACAGUACCGGGAGAAUAAGCUCCGGCUAACUCCGUGCCAGCAGCCGCCGCCG